UGGGGAAUCUUCCGCAAUGGGCGCAAGCCUGACGGAGCAACGCCGCGUGAGUGAAGAAGGUCUUCGGAUCGUAAAGCUCUGUUGAUGGGGACGAACGUGCCUAAUGCGAAUAGUAUUAGGUACUGACGGUACCCAUCGAGGAAGCCACGGCUAACUACGUGCCAGCAGCCGCGGUAAUACGUAGGUGGCGAGCGUUGUCCGGAAUCAUUGGGCGUAAAGGGAGCGCAGGCGGGCAUGUAAGUCUUUCUUAAAAGUGCGGGGCUCAACCCCGUGAUGGGAAAGAAACUAUGUGUCUUGAGUACAGGAGAGGAAAGCGGAAUUCCCAGUGUAGCGGUGAAAUGCGUAGAUAUUGGGAGGAACACCAGUGGCGAAGGCGGCUUUCUGGACUGCAACUGACGCUGAGGCUCGAAAGCCAGGGGAGCGAACGGG
This 429-nucleotide ribosomal RNA is filed under the name bacterium. RNAcentral's name for it is "partial 16S ribosomal RNA". It matches the Rfam family "Bacterial small subunit ribosomal RNA", at positions 355 to 776 of the family's 1533-position model. The record is from RNAcentral.